AUGACGAUUGUGUCCUCUGAUCUGGGUUGGAUUUUUGGUGGAGUGGACUUAUCAAAAUUGUUCCUGUGCACCCACCUUUGUCGUGAGUCGAGGGUGGAUUUGACCGUGGUUGGCUGCAACACGGCGUCGUUUCCCAAGAUGAAUGAAAUGCGAGCGCUAAUUUUGUCGGCUGGUAUUUUCCACCCCUCUUUUUUUGAAUUUGUUUUUUCCGACGCCAUUCUGGGCAAUCGAUCCCCGAAACUCCGAGAAAAUUCAUCCAGCAACUGUGGCUGGAUUUUCGACGAAUAUUUCAAGAGAGCAGAUUUGGAUGACGAUGGUCGGAUCAGUGAAGCUGAAGCUGUUGCUUUCUUUCAAGGUUCUGGUUUACCCAAACUGGUCCUUGAAUCAGGUUGGAUGCUUGCUAACCAGCAAAAAGUUGGUUUCCUUGGUCAACAAGAGUUCUAUAAUUUUCUUAAGCUUGUUACUGUAGCACAAAGUAAGCAUGAACUGACUCCAUAUGGUGAAGGCAGCAUUGUUGGUACUGCUUCAGCUAAAAUACCUGCUCCUCAGAUAAACCUUGCAGUGACGUCUACUCCUAAAGCAGCGGCACCUGCUCUUCAGAUGGAUGGCAUCACAUCAGUGGCAUCUCAAAGUAUUGGUAUCAGACUACAACAGAUGCCCGGAAAUGCAAGCACAAAACAUCAAUAUUUCCCAUCUCAGCAAAAUCAGUUUGUGAGGCCACAACAAUCUCUGCCUCCCAACUCCGUGUUCCAUACACCAGAAGUUCGUGCAAGUGGCCCUAUGACCCAAAAUGAAGGUAGGGGAGUUAGUCCUCCUUCAAUUCAGGAUGGAUUUGGGCUAACAGCAUCGGGGUUAAUGCACUAUGUCCGACCUAGACCACAGUUGACCACUGAACAGACACCUUCUAGUACAUCGAACCCUCAAGGUGCAGCUGCUGCCUCCUACCAAUCAGCAUCUAAGGAUUCUAAAAUUUCAGGGAAUGAAUUUGCAUCUGCAUCACUUUUUGGAGAUGUAUUUUCUGCAACUUCUUCUCAACCAGCACAAAGGGCCUCCUCAGCUGUGUCGUCUACAAGUAGCUUACUUGUCUCAUUAAGAAUUAAUCCAUCUUGUGUGGGGCCCCAACCUUCAGUCAUGCCAAGUCUCUUGACAACUUGCAGAGUACAUUUUCUCAGCAAGCUGUUGGUGAGCAAUCAACAGGAAGACAGACACGGCCGGUUGCCACUCAAGGUUCUGCUGUUACUCAUUCUGGGUUUCCUGUUGGAGCUCGGAAUUCAGACUCGAGUAAAUCCCUACCCCCAUGGCAAAGAUGACUCAGUCUGGUAUUUAAAAGUACAUGGAAGUGUUUAUGCAGGUAGACAUGGAUAGAGACGGAAAAAUUACCGGUGAACAGGCAGGCAACCUUUUCUUAAGUUGGACUCUGCCAAGAGAGAUCUUAAAACAGGUUUGGGAUUUAUCUGAUCAAGCUAAUGACAGUAUGCUUUCUUUGAGGGAGUUUUGUAUAGCUCUAUAUCUGAUAGAACGUUAUAGAGAAGGCCGUCCUCUUCCUACAACACUUCCGGCUCUUUAAUGUCUGAUGAGAUUCUGUUAUCUGCCACAAGCCACCUUACAGCUUUGUAUGGCUGUGGAACUUGGGGACCUGCUUCUGGAUCAUGACCACCAUAAGUUCUGAUGGUUCUGUGGCCAGCUCCUGCUGCUGCAGCAAUUCCACCAAGGCCUCCUGUUCAAUAUGCUGAUGAAAAACCACCCCCUCAACAAAAGCCCAAAGUUCCUGUGCUAAAAAAGCAUCUUGUUGAUCAACUUAGCCAGGAGGAGCAGGAUUCUCUGAAUUCAAAGUUGCUGAUAAAAAG
Molecule: RNA transcript, 1847 nt
Organism: Manihot esculenta (cassava)
Lineage: Eukaryota; Viridiplantae; Streptophyta; Magnoliopsida; Malpighiales; Euphorbiaceae
Gene name: actin cytoskeleton-regulatory complex protein PAN1
Exons: 7
Source: RefSeq, a predicted model, not a curated record